This 598-nucleotide long non-coding RNA is filed under the name Daucus carota (carrot). RNAcentral describes it as "long non-coding RNA (DCAR_LNC007458)". The record is from RNAcentral. Lineage: Eukaryota; Viridiplantae; Streptophyta; Magnoliopsida; Apiales; Apiaceae.
GAAAUUAGAGUAGAGUCGAGUAGACACUUGCUAGAAUGUCUCGAAGAUUUUAUGGGUAUAUCUUCUGUAAACCCUUAGGAGACAAAACUCCUCUUGUAGAGAUCGUCUACGAGUUUAACGGGUUGGUGAACCUAAAAUCACCCGUCACGCCUACGAAAAGGAGCCUAGGAAUCGCAUUUAGUUUUCUUAGUUUAUUUCUUUUCUUUUGAUUUUUACUCGAGGACGAGCAAAAGAUAGGUAUGGGGAAGUUUGAUUAGUCCAUAUUUUUGCAUAUUUAAAUGCCUAUUUUUUGUUUAUUUUCGUAGUAUUAAUCGCUUAUUUAUUUUAUUUCAGGAAAUUGUAGAUAAAUAAAGAAAGAAGAGAAAAUGCAAGAAAAAGGGAGAAAAAGAAAAGAAAAGAAGAAAAUCAAAGAGAGUUGGCAAGCAAGGGGGCACAUGGAUGGCUAUGAUUUACCCAACACACAUCACACAUGGAUGGAUUAGAUUUAGCCACCCUACCCCUAAACCCUACAUUUCUAGCUAUAAAUACCCCCACCCCCUUUACUUGUAAUCAUAAUCUUUUUAACCUAGUCUUUUCCUAGUUGGUAGGUAGUAUAGUG